GGGAUAACUAGGUCAUAGCCUCCCAUUAAGUUGGGGGAUAAUGGGUCCAAUGUUUUGAUAAUUAUUGGAGACGCGACACGCCUGGUACUUAUCAAGCAUUGGAAUUGUCAUUCAAUAUAUGAUGAGUUAAAUGUACAUUCAAUAGGCGGUCAGAUGAGCCGAGCCACACUCGGGCUUGGUCGUCUAUUAGUUGAUUAGACUUAACCCUAUCAUUUAAUGGUUGGACUUGACUAGGGUAUUCGGUGGAGGCGCCACACGCCUGCCGAAGAACCUAGGGCAAAAUUAUCACUAGAAGUUGCUUGGUGAAGCAACUGGUUUAGAA
RNAcentral lists this long non-coding RNA (322 nucleotides) under Phoenix dactylifera (date palm). RNAcentral's name for it is "long non-coding RNA (PDAC_LNC016779)". The record is from RNAcentral. Lineage: Eukaryota; Viridiplantae; Streptophyta; Magnoliopsida; Arecales; Arecaceae.